Molecule: long non-coding RNA, 1837 nt
Organism: Equus caballus (horse)
Lineage: Eukaryota; Metazoa; Chordata; Mammalia; Perissodactyla; Equidae
Source: RefSeq, a predicted model, not a curated record
CCAAUGUGGGAAAGACAGUGACAGGUAAGGCUUGGGAGGACUGAACGCAUGGCUUCUAAUGCCGUAAAGCUGCUGACUCACUGGGAAACUUGGAAGGAGGCCUUCAACUCCAGGCCUCAGUUUCUCCACAGAUAAAAUGGGAGCGAGGAACUAGGCAAGUGAUUUUAAACAUCAUUUUAAACUAGAAAAAUGAUAGAACUUCCCCUUCCGCAUCCCUGCCACCACCAAAGACCGAAAAGGAGCUGCGGAAAUGACCUGCGGGGGCUGGAAGGGCCUUCCUGUUGACUUGAAGGAGGAGGCAAAACCCUGGCUGCAGUGCGAAGACUCCUGGUCUCCCUGUCUCUCCCCUGCCUGUCAACUGAAUCCCUUUAUCUUGAGUGGCCCUGGAGUCCCAGCAGCCCAGGGCAGAGGAAAUUCAGGAAUCCCCCAGGCACCAGCCUGACCCUGUCUUGCCAUAGCAGAGGAGACACCCACCAUCAGCUGACUGAAAACUCCCAGCCUGAGGGCUGACCUGGCCAUCUGCUAUGACAGAUAGCAACCCACCCAGGACCGGUCCAAACUUCAGACUCUGCUGACCCUAGGGUACCUAGCAGUGUCUAGCUAAGCCCACUGUAAUCUGUUUUACAGUAUUUUCCCACUGGCUGGUUUACCAAAUCUUCCCACUAGCCUGACGACCCGAGAAAAGCAGGGAUGAGCCUUCCCACCUUUCAGACUAGGAAAACUGAGGAUCAGAGGAGGACAGGGACAGAGUGGCCAAUCCAGCACUGGAUUCAGGAGCUCAGUAAAUAUUUACUGGACAAAAUGAGCUCACUGGCCCAGCCGUUGCCAAGCAGGUGCAGCAUGUGCCAGAGAAGCGCAGGAGGGACACGACAUGGGUGGGUGGGUGUGUAUGUGUGUGUGAGACACUCACCUGGGUGUGCAUGUGUGACAUACCUCUCCCUGGAGACCAAGUCACAUACAGGUCCGAGGUACCUAUAACAGGUCCCCUCCCCCCCAAUCCUGGCUCCAUUCUUGCUAUCCCUCCAGCCCAUUUCUAAUCCAGCCUCCUUCCCUCUCCGGGCUGGAUUAGAAUAGUCGGUUCUUAACAAGGAAAUGAAUUUGAAUCCAGGGGUGGGGGCAGGAUACUUUAAAAAAAUAUAUACAUUUUCAGAAUGCAAAAGAAGGCAAUUUGAAAAUAUCUAACAAAAUUUUAGCUGUACAGAUUCUUCAAGAUAGCAGUUCCACUUGCAGGACUGGCUCCCAGAGCUGUGCACACACACGCACAUGGACACGCGGGGAAGAGCACCUGCUGCAGUACUGCCCACAGCAGCAAGACUGGGAACACCCUGGACACCCCUGCGUAGAGGACUGGACACACAACCAGGGGUCCAUUGAUGACGGACUGCCACAUGGUCAUGGAAAAGCAGGCUGUGGACCUGUGUGUGUCCACAGGGAAGAGCCUACAACAAACAGACUUGUGUGAAGACGACAAGGCACAGAACAGCAGAUGGGGAAACUGAGGCUUGGAGAGGCCAAGGGUCUCACUCAAGGUCACAGAGCUUGAAGCUGGCAGAACAAGGCCCCAGAGGUCUUAGACAGCCAAACUCAAUACGCAAGGAUGGUCAGGUUAAGAACAACUUCUCUCUCCCCUCAUCCUGACUGAGAGUCUCAGCAAGACCAAGGCAGCACAGGCCCUGGUUCACCUGCCCAGUCUGGUGGCCUGCAAAGUUCUGGCCACACACCCGACGGCCCAGCUGCCUAGGAGCCGCACCCCCCUGCAAAAUUUCAUUACUCAAGUUGGCAAGAACGCAGCCCCCACCCCCAGCCUGAUCUAAAUAAACGCCCAAGUGAUAUCACA